Molecule: ribosomal RNA, 403 nt
Filed under: bacterium
Lineage: Bacteria
Description: partial 16S ribosomal RNA
Rfam family: Bacterial small subunit ribosomal RNA
Source: RNAcentral
UGGGGAAUAUUGCACAAUGGAGGGAACUCUGAUGCAGCGACGCCGCGUGAACGAAGAAGGCUUUCGAGUCGUAAAGUUCUUUUAUAUGGGAAGAUAAUGACGGUACCAAAAGAAGAAGCCCCGGCUAACUACGUGCCAGCAGCCGCGGUAAUACGUAGGGGGCUAGCGUUGUCCGGAAUCACUGGGCGUAAAGGGUUCGCAGGCGGAAAUGCAAGUCAGGUGUAAAAGGCAGUAGCUUAACUACUGUAAGCAUUUGAAACUGCAUAUCUUGAGAAGAGUAGAGGUAAGUGGAAUUUUUAGUGUAGCGGUGAAAUGCGUAGAUAUUAAAAAGAAUACCGGUGGCGAAGGCGACUUACUGGGCUCAUUCUGACGCUGAGGAACGAAAGCGUGGGUAGCAAACAGG